This is a long non-coding RNA of Oncorhynchus masou masou (cherry salmon), 878 nucleotides long. RefSeq lists it as uncharacterized. The transcript is spliced from 2 exons. The record is from RefSeq and is a predicted model, not a curated record. NCBI's taxonomy places the organism in Eukaryota, Metazoa, Chordata, Actinopteri, Salmoniformes, Salmonidae.
CUUUCCAGUGAAAGCAAGCCUGCCUCCCUUAGUCAUAUCUCAUAGUCUGUCCUGUGUGUAUGAGGCAGUGACAGAGAGAGACAAAGAGACGAGAAGAGCUAUGACCCCGGUGACAGGACACUCAAGUUUGUCAACAGACAGGAUGACAAUUCUUUGGAUGAUAUUCCUGAAACCUUGAGGGCAGAGAUGUCCUUUGGUUACGCGGCCAUCCCAAAGUCACUGUCCAAAUUGUUUAAAAACCUGAACCAGUUAAAAUGUCCGGGGCCACACUCUGACCAGAGGCUGCAUCUGCUGCAGAACUGUCCAACUGUUGCCUUGCCUCAGGUACAUGGGGUCACUGCCUGCCCCUCCAUGCGUGCCUGUCCCACCUGUGGUGCACUAUUGGAGCAUGACAUGACCGCUUGUAAGAAUUUACUCUGCCCGCGUUGCGAGAAAGAGUUCUGUUUUGUGUGCCUUAAGCUCAAAUCUGAGUGCAUGAAGACCAGCUCACCAUACAAAGCCUGCUCUGCUGGUGUUGCCCCCAGGCAGACCUCCAUACCCACCUGGAGUGGUAAUUGAAGACUUUAUGCAUAUAUAUUUUUCACUUUCCUUCCCAUGAGCCAUCUGAUCCAAUACACUUCUCACAAGAUAUGUUAAGAUAGUAAUACAGUAAUCAACAAAAAUCGAUUCAAGAUAUUUCAGAAAUGUAUUGUUGAGAAUGAUGAAUGAGGUAAUUGUAUAAGUGGCAUAAUAUUAUUUUGUAGUAUCUUUAUUAUCAAAUUGUUACUUUACUUUUAUCAACGUUCUAAAGUCCUACUGCUAAUGUCCAUCUAUGUCCAUCUAAGUCUGUUGGUGUAAUAACAUUUAUAUCUUAUAUUAAAUGAUGUGUUUAUGUCUGA